Molecule: ribosomal RNA, 501 nt
Filed under: uncultured Kocuria sp.
Lineage: Bacteria; Bacillati; Actinomycetota; Actinomycetes; Micrococcales; Micrococcaceae
Description: bacterial SSU rRNA
Rfam family: Bacterial small subunit ribosomal RNA
Source: RNAcentral
GUUACGAGUAGUACGUUGACGUCGUGCACGAGACACGCUGGCGGCGUGCUUAACACAUGCAAGUCGAACGCUGAAGCUUGGUGCUUGCACUGGGUGGAUGAGUGGCGAACGGGUGAGUAAUACGUGAGUAACCUGCCCUUGACUCUGGGAUAAGCCUGGGAAACUGGGUCUAAUACUGGAUACGACAUGUCACCGCAUGGUGGUGUGUGGAAAGGGUUUUACUGGUUUUGGAUGGGCUCACGGCCUAUCAGCUUGUUGGUGGGGUAAUGGCUCACCAAGGCGACGACGGGUAGCCGGCCUGAGAGGGUGACCGGCCACACUGGGACUGAGACACGGCCCAGACUCCUACGGGAGGCAGCAGUGGGGAAUAUUGCACAAUGGGCGGAAGCCUGAUGCAGCGACGCCGCGUGAGGGAUGACGGCCUUCGGGUUGUAAACCUCUUUCAGCACGGAAGAAGCGAAAGUGACGGUACGUGCAGAAGAAGCGCCGGCUAACUACGUG